GACGGAGGGCGCUAGCGUUGUUCGGAAUCACUGGGCGUAAAGGGCGCGUAGGCGGCUGUGGCAGUCGGGUGUGAAAGCCCGGAGCUCAACUCCGGAAUGGCACUCGAGACGCCACGGCUGGAGGCCGGAAGAGGAGGGUGGAAUACCCAGUGUAGAGGUGAAAUUCGUAGAUAUUGGGUGGAACACCGGUGGCGAAAGCGGCUCUCUGGUCCGGACCUGACGCUGAGGCGCGAAAGCGUGGGGAGCAAACAGG
RNAcentral lists this ribosomal RNA (253 nucleotides) under uncultured bacterium. RNAcentral's name for it is "partial 16S ribosomal RNA". It matches the Rfam family "Bacterial small subunit ribosomal RNA", at positions 524 to 776 of the family's 1533-position model. The record is from RNAcentral.